CGAGUGGCGGACGGGUGAGUAAUGUCUGGGAAACUGCCCGAUGGAGGGGGAUAACUACUGGAAACGGUAGCUAAUACCGCAUAAUGUCUACGGACCAAAGCGGGGGACCUCCGGGCCUCGCGCCAUCAGAUGAACCCAUAUGGGAUUAACUUGUAGGUAAGGUAACGGCUUACCUAGGCGACGAUCCCUAGCUGGUCUGAGAGGAUGAUCAGCCACACUGGGACUGAGACACGGCCCAG
This 239-nucleotide ribosomal RNA is filed under the name uncultured bacterium. RNAcentral's name for it is "partial 16S ribosomal RNA". It matches the Rfam family "Bacterial small subunit ribosomal RNA", at positions 92 to 334 of the family's 1533-position model. The record is from RNAcentral.